Non-coding RNA from Punica granatum (pomegranate), 1322 nucleotides. The record is from RefSeq and is a predicted model, not a curated record. NCBI's taxonomy places the organism in Eukaryota, Viridiplantae, Streptophyta, Magnoliopsida, Myrtales, Lythraceae.
UUAUCAACCGGAUGACAUUUCGUAAUUUCAGCAUUUGAAUCUUUCUAUAAAGAGAAAUCACCAUGUCUGCCCUCCUCAUCACUGCUGGCCUCUCUUCUCUCCCUCUCUCAUUCAUAGUGAAGACGAAGCCAAUUGAGGAGGCCGCCGGAGAUCUCUCAAGAUUAAAAUCUUCGUCAGAACCCCAACAAGAAAGGCCAUAGCGCUUUUUGUCGAGAGCACUGAUGCUGUUGACGCCGUCAAGGCCAAAAUAGAGGAGGAGGAGGGGAUCCCGACUGACCAGCAGCUGCUCUUCUUCGGCGGGAGGCAGCUCGAGGACGGACGCUCCCUUGCCGACUAUACCAUCAGGGAGGAGGCCACGGUCCACCUCACCUUCCGAUCAUCGCAGUCCUCAGUCAAGAACAGGAAAAAGAAGCUGAGCGCUCUCUUAUCAGCCUCUUCUUGGAGAUUCCUGAAUCGGAAAAUUUCGGGGCUAUCGAGUUGAGCAGGAGCCCUUCGAUUCUUCCUUGAAGUGGGGGAUAUGUAAGUAGAUUAUGGUUGCAUGUAUUUAUUUCGGCACGUUUAACUCAUCCUCAUCAUUUUGGCACGUUUCAUGCGAAUAGAAGAAUGAAAUAUUCGUUUAAGAUGGAUGACGACGCUUUAUUCAGUGAUCUUACUACAAUACCUUCAUGUAUUUUUGUUUGUCAAUCGUGCUUUAUCAUCCAAAUGGUAUUAAUAUCACGCUUAUUAUUCCAGAAUCCAAUGGAUUGAUCAUAAGCUAAAUUUCGGAAUUGCAUAUAAAAUUUUGAUACAUAUAUAACAAGACUUGAUCUUGCCCCUUCUUUGAAGUAUGAGCUUCUCUGUUCCUCGUUAUUAACUUAUGCCCGUUGUUGGAUCAAUUUUUUGUUAUACAUAUAUUUAUAUAAUUCGUUCAAGGGAUGAAAUAAUUCCCCAUAACAUGUACUAGACAUAACUGAUAGCUAGUCGGACUAUCUCAUGGACCUUAAACAAAAGAGUACGUCGCCGGAAAGUUGGGCCGGUUUUUCUCUCCUUUGUAGAGAGUGGCCCAAAUCCAAAUAAAUUAACACUCACAUGGCUAACAUCGGGUUUCAAACCCAUGAAACCUUUUCAGAGCACCCACUAUAUAAAUGAGUUCAAAUACAACUAGAAGAAAGGCUCCUGCAUAUGCACGAGCUAGAGAUGUCGCAUAUAUAUACUGAAAAUAUCUAAUGGUAUAAUUACAUGGGUAUAUAGGUAGCAUAAAUUUAAUCGUGAUGAAUUUUUGUCUACGAGGAACUUAAUUUCAAUCUUCCUUUUCAAUUGGGGUUAAUAACAAAAAAAAAAAA